AAACAUCUAUCCAUUUCUCUUAUUUACUUUGCAUAUUCAUUACUAUUUUGUGAUUUGGUUGUGAUAACCAAUGGGAGGAAGGAGAAGAUCGCCUCCAGCAUGCCGAGACCUCAAGGCAACUCAAGAGCAGAUCGCCAAUGGAAGCUACACCAUCCUGCUCCAGCCGGAUCUGGAGGCCGGCGCACCAUGAUUCACCAAGGGCACCGUCGUGAGGUUCGUGCAGCACACUGGAGGUUUGGGAGCGCGUGAUGACCAUCAUGUCCAGGAUACUGCAGCUCGAGGACACCAUAGCCGUCCAGAGCAAUGAUAUCUUGGAUUGAAAUCUGCAGAAGGCCACGAUAGGAAACCGGUUAACUCCGUGGAAGUACAUCCUCUCCUCCUCUGAUGUUGAUGUGAAAUCUCCUUCUACAAGGUAACUAGACAACAUUCCUACAAAUUUGCAAGCUUUGUUUCUCUUAAGUCUUCCACUCAACCCCAGACAAUAUUUCAUUGAAUCUGUGAAUUUUCUCCUGAACUGAUAGAUGCAGUUGCAGGUGAAAACAUUGUGAUAUAUGAGGUAAUGAAAAUAUUUAUGGAGGAAAUUUACUUUUACACAUCGUAUAGGUUAUCUUUAUCUAAAUCAUGUGGUCCUUUUUGAGUUAUGAGUUGCAGUAGUACUACAUGAAGAUUAUAAAUUAGGUACGAUUGUUUUUGCUCUCUAAUUCAUGAGUACCUGCGUACAAACUCAGUAUCUAUUUUCACCAUGUCAUGGCACGGCAACCGUGGAGCGGAUAUGAUUGAACCUUAUAAGCUGGCCUCAAGAACAUAAACACCGGUUCCAUUUUAUUUCCCUGGACCUCAUAAAUACUCAUUUUGCUUAUAACAGUUCCGAGGUAUGACAAAAAGAUUAAGCAAAA
Triticum aestivum (bread wheat) is the source of this 896-nucleotide long non-coding RNA. RefSeq lists it as uncharacterized. The transcript is spliced from 4 exons. The record is from RefSeq and is a predicted model, not a curated record. NCBI's taxonomy places the organism in Eukaryota, Viridiplantae, Streptophyta, Magnoliopsida, Poales, Poaceae.